Oncorhynchus keta (chum salmon) is the source of this 515-nucleotide long non-coding RNA. RefSeq lists it as uncharacterized. The transcript is spliced from 4 exons. NCBI's taxonomy places the organism in Eukaryota, Metazoa, Chordata, Actinopteri, Salmoniformes, Salmonidae. The record is from RefSeq and is a predicted model, not a curated record.
AAACAACAGGUGUAGACUAACAGUGAAAUGGCAGAGAGAGAGAGAGAGAAACAACAGGUGUAGACUAACAGUGAAAUGGCAGGGAGAGAGAGAGAAACAACAGGUGUAGACUAACAGUGAAAUGGCAGGGAGAGAGAAACAACAGGUGUAGACUAACAGUGAAAUGGCAGGGAGAGAGAGAGAGAGAAACAACAGGUGUAGACUAACAGUGAAAUGGCAGAGAGAGAGAGAGAGAAACAACAGGUGUAGACUAACAGUGAAAUGGCAGGGAGAGAGAGAGAAACAACAGGUGUAGACUAACAGUGAAAUGGCAGGGAGAGAGAAACAACAGGUGUAGACUAACAGUGAAAUGGCAGGGAGAGAGAGAGGGAGAAACAACAGGUGUAGACUAACAGUGAAAUGGCAGAGAGAGAGAGAGAGAAACAACAGGUGUAGACUAACAGUGAAAUGGCAGAGAGAGAGAGAGAGAGAAACAACAGGUGUAGACUAACAGUGAAAUGGCAGAGAGAGAGAAA